AGGCCUUUAGAGGUCUGUCCUUGCUGAUUUGCAUAGGAGCGAGGGCUUGAGUAAGUCCGGCGGGCUGGCUCGGCUGUCAUUGGCCGGACGUGGGGAAAUGCGCUGAGAUGCAAACGCAGGCAAAUAGGACCCGCGGCGUCUGUCCGUCCGGCGCCAUCCCUCGGUGCCGCGGCCCACUCGGAACCCGGAGGCGGACGGAGGCAGGUUUGCAAGGGCAGAGCCGGGCAGCUUCCUGCUGCGAAGUGGGGUUCCACGUAGGGACCUGGAGCUGCAGGCACUGUUUAGAGGCUGGCUGGAGGGAGAAGACCCUUGACGUGGCGGACGAGCGCCAUGUCUCUGAGCAGCACCUUCGGGGCUGUGGGUGACCACCCUGGCAUCAUCACCUGGAGGA
Molecule: long non-coding RNA, 391 nt
Organism: Condylura cristata (star-nosed mole)
Lineage: Eukaryota; Metazoa; Chordata; Mammalia; Eulipotyphla; Talpidae
Exons: 3
Source: RefSeq, a predicted model, not a curated record